Molecule: ribosomal RNA, 497 nt
Filed under: uncultured bacterium
Lineage: Bacteria
Description: partial 16S ribosomal RNA
Rfam family: Bacterial small subunit ribosomal RNA
Source: RNAcentral
GAUGAACGCUGGCGGCGUGCCUAAUACAUGCAAGUCGAGCGAACAGACGAGGAGCUUGCUCCUUUGACGUUAGCGGCGGACGGGUGAGUAACACGUGGAUAACCUACCUAUAAGACUGGGAUAACUUCGGGAAACCGGAGCUAAUACCGGAUAACAUGUUGAACCGCAUGGUUCAACAGUGAAAGACGGUCUUGCUGUCACUUAUAGAUGGAUCCGCGCCGCAUUAGCUAGUUGGUAAGGUAACGGCUUACCAAGGCAACGAUGCGUAGCCGACCUGAGAGGGUGAACGGCCACACUGGAACUGAGACACGGUCCAGACUCCUACGGGAGGCAGCAGUAGGGAAUCUUCCGCAAUGGGCGAAAGCCUGACGGAGCAACGCCGCGUGAGUGAAGAAGGUCUUCGGAUCGUAAAACUCUGUUAUUAGGGAAGAACAAAAGUGUAAGUAACUAUGCACGUCUUGACGGUACCUAAACAGAAAGCCACGGCUAACUACGUG